ACUUGUUGUAAAUCCCUUACAGGUGAGUGACUAACUUAGCAGAUAAUUCUGCUGAAUUGUUUGGCCCACUGAUGAGAUUCGUUUCGGGAUCAAGUUGAGCCUUUUGGGCUCCCCAGUCAGCCCCACAAUGUAUAUUUCACACAUGCAAAUGUGCUCAUAUGGAAGUCUUCGCGAAACAGCAGCCAGUUUUAUUUGAGAUGCCUUACAAUUUGAAAAUAAAUGAUGCCAAAUUUAACCAGAUGGUCCAUUCUUGGAGACUCUGGGACACAUCAAGGCCAUUUGUAGCUGGAGUGGUUUUGGGUUCCUAAACUCUGCCUUCAAGAGAUGUAUUUCCUAAUUAUUCCAUCUAUUCUUUUACUUCUGCAAUCCCCAUCUGGCUGGCUUUCAUCACGUGCAUCCAAUCAGAAUCCCAAUGACAUUCUUCACAGAAAUAGAAAAAAGAAUCCAAAAAUUGAUAUGGAACAAUAAAAGACCCUGAAUAGCCAAAGCAAUCCCAAGAAAAAAGAGCAAAGCUGGAGGCAUCACAAUCCCUUACUUCAAAACAUACUACAAAGCUAUAGUAAUCAAAACAGCAUGGUACUGGCACAAAAACACACAAGUUAAUGGAGGGUCAUGUUUCUAUUUGCUGUGGGACAGUGUUAGUCAUCG
RNAcentral lists this long non-coding RNA (648 nucleotides) under Equus caballus (horse). RNAcentral describes it as "lncRNA (ENSECAG00000028522.3)". The record is from RNAcentral. Lineage: Eukaryota; Metazoa; Chordata; Mammalia; Perissodactyla; Equidae.